This 550-nucleotide ribosomal RNA is filed under the name uncultured bacterium. Its description in RNAcentral is "bacterial SSU rRNA". It matches the Rfam family "Bacterial small subunit ribosomal RNA", at positions 355 to 896 of the family's 1533-position model. The record is from RNAcentral.
UAGGGAAUCUUCGGCAAUGGGGGCAACCCUGACCGAGCAACGCCGCGUGAGUGAAGAAGGUUUUCGGAUCGUAAAGCUCUGUUGUAAGUCAAGAACGAGUGUGAGAGUGGAAAGUUCACACUGUGACGGUAGCUUACCAGAAAGGGACGGCUAACUACGUGCCAGCAGCCGCGGUAAUACGUAGGUCCCGAGCGUUGUCCGGAUUUAUUGGGCGUAAAGCGAGCGCAGGCGGUUUGAUAAGUCUGAAGUUAAAGGCUGUGGCUCAACCAUAGUUCGCUUUGGAAGCUGUCAAACUUGAGUGCAGAAGGGGAGAGUGGAAUUCCAUGUGUAGCGGUGAAAUGCGUAGAUAUAUGGAGGAACACCGGUGGCGAAAGCGGCUCUCUGGUCUGUAACUGACGCUGAGGCUCGAAAGCGUGGGGAGCGAACAGGAUUAGAUACCCUGGUAGUCCACGCCGUAAACGAUGAGUGCUAGGUGUUGGAUCCUUUCCGGGAUUCAGUGCCGCAGCUAACGCAUUAAGCACUCCGCCUGGGGAGUACGACCGCAAGGUUG